This 433-nucleotide ribosomal RNA is filed under the name uncultured bacterium. RNAcentral describes it as "partial 16S ribosomal RNA". It matches the Rfam family "Bacterial small subunit ribosomal RNA", at positions 29 to 507 of the family's 1533-position model. The record is from RNAcentral.
AGCGAACGCUGGCGGCAGGCCUAACACAUGCAAGUCGAACGAACUCUCCGUAGUUAGUGGCGGACGGGUGGUUAACACGUGGGAACUUGCCCUUUGGUUCGCAAUCACUCACGGUAACUUGUCCUCAUACCGCAUGUGCUCUUCGCGGGAAAGAUGUAUGGCUAUUAGCUCGGCGUGCGUCUGAUUAGCUAGUUGGUGAGGUAACGGCAAGCCAAGGCCAGGAUCAGGGGCUGGUCGGGGAGGAUGACCAGCCACACUGGGGCUGAGGCACGGCCCAGACUCCUACGGAAGGCAGCAGUGGGGUGUCUUGCGCGAGGAGCGAAAACGUAGCGCAGCCAUGCGGGGUAAAUGGUGAAGGUCGUAGGAUUGUGAAAUUCUUUGUCCGGAAACGAUAAUGACGGUACCCGGUAAAGAAGCCCCGGCUAACUUCGUG